This 65-nucleotide transfer RNA is filed under the name Procubitermes arboricola. RNAcentral describes it as "tRNA-His". The record is from RNAcentral. Lineage: Eukaryota; Metazoa; Arthropoda; Insecta; Blattodea; Termitidae. RNAcentral also lists the same sequence under 1 other name.
AUCUAAAUAGUUUAAAUUGGAAAAUGUUGGUUUGUGGUGCCGACGAUGCAGUUGUGCUUUAGGUU